RNAcentral lists this ribosomal RNA (393 nucleotides) under uncultured bacterium. Its description in RNAcentral is "partial 16S ribosomal RNA". It matches the Rfam family "Bacterial small subunit ribosomal RNA", at positions 523 to 918 of the family's 1533-position model. The record is from RNAcentral.
AUACGGAGGACGCGAGCGUUAUCCGGAUUCAUUGGGUUUAAAGGGUGCGCAGGCGGCCGUGCAAGUCAGCGGUGAAAGCCCGGGGCUCAACCCCGGAAGUGCCGUUGAUACUGCAUGGCUGGAAUGCGGUCGAGGCGGGCGGAACGUGGGGUGGAGCGGGGAAAUGCGUAGAUAUGCCACAGAACGCCGAUAGCGGAGGCAGCUCGCCAGGCCUGCAUUGACGCUCGGGCACGAAAGCGUGGGGAUCGAACAGGAUUAGAUCCCCUGGUAGUCCACGCCGUAAACGAUGGGCGCUCGUCGUCGGCGGCAGACAGUCGGCGGCCAAGCGAAAGCGAUAAGCGCCCCACCUGGGGAGUACGGUCGCAAGGUUGAAACUCAAAGGAAUUGACGGGG